Molecule: ribosomal RNA, 561 nt
Filed under: uncultured bacterium
Lineage: Bacteria
Description: partial 16S ribosomal RNA
Rfam family: Bacterial small subunit ribosomal RNA
Source: RNAcentral
UGGGGAAUCUUGCGCAAUGGGCGAAAGCCUGACGCAGCCAUGCCGCGUGAAUGAUGAAGGUCUUAGGAUUGUAAAAUUCUUUCACCGGGGACGAUAAUGACGGUACCCGGAGAAGAAGCCCCGGCUAACUUCGUGCCAGCAGCCGCGGUAAUACGAAGGGGGCUAGCGUUGCUCGGAAUUACUGGGCGUAAAGGGAGCGUAGGCGGACAUUUAAGUCAGGGGUGAAAUCCCGGGGCUCAACCUCGGAAUUGCCUUUGAUACUGGGUGUCUUGAGUGUGAGAGGGGUAUGUGGAACUCCGAGUGUAGAGGUGAAAUUCGUAGAUAUUCGGAAGAACACCAGUGGCGAAGGCGACAUACUGGCUCAUUACUGACGCUGAGGCUCGAAAGCGUGGGGAGCAAACAGGAUUAGAUACCCUGGUAGCCCACGCCGUAAACGAUGAUUGCUAGUUGUCGGGAUGCAUGCAUUUCGGUGACGCAGCUAACGCAUUAAGCAAUCCGCCUGGGGAGUACGGUCGCAAGAUUAAAAACUCAAAGGAAUUGACGGGGUCAUAGCUGUUUCCU